GUCCAUCUGACGAGUCCCAAAUAGGACGAAACGCGCGUCCUGGAU
Schistosoma rodhaini is the source of this 45-nucleotide non-coding RNA. The record is from Rfam. NCBI's taxonomy places the organism in Eukaryota, Metazoa, Platyhelminthes, Trematoda, Strigeidida, Schistosomatidae.